Molecule: ribosomal RNA, 440 nt
Filed under: uncultured bacterium
Lineage: Bacteria
Description: bacterial SSU rRNA
Rfam family: Bacterial small subunit ribosomal RNA
Source: RNAcentral
CUACGGGAGGCAGCAGUGGGGAAUCUUAGACAAUGGGGGAAACCCUGAUCUAGCCAUGCCGCGUGAGCGAUGAAGGCCUUAGGGUUGUAAAGCUCUUUCAGCUGGGAAGAUAAUGACUGUACCAGCAGAAGAAGCCCCGGCUAACUCCGUGCCAGCAGCCGCGGUAAUACGGAGGGGGCUAGCGUUGUUCGGAAUUACUGGGCGUAAAGCGCACGUAGGCGGACUGGAAAGUUGGGGGUGAAAUCCCGGGGCUCAACCUCGGAACUGCCUUCAAAACUCCCAGUCUUGAGGUCGAGAGAGGUGAGUGGAAUUCCGAGUGUAGAGGUGAAAUUCGUAGAUAUUCGGAGGAACACCAGUGGCGAAGGCGGCUCACUGGAUCGGUACUGACGCUGAGGUGCGAAAGCGUGGGGAGCAAACAGGAUUAGAUACCCUUGUAGUCC